GAUGAACGCUAGCUACAGGCUUAACACAUGCAAGUCGAGGGGUAACGAGAGGAAAGCUUGCUUUCCUUGUCGACGACCGGCGCACGGGUGAGUAACGCGUAUCCAACCUGCCCCCAACUAGGGAAUAACCUUGCGAAAGUAAGACUAAUACCCUAUAAUUUCCUCAGAUGUCAUCUGACGAGGAAUAAAGAUUUAUCGGUUGUGGAUGGGGAUGCUUCUGAUAGCUUGUUGGCGGGGUAACGGCCCACCAAGGCAACGAUAAGUAGGGGUUCUGAGAGGAAGGUCCCCCACAUUGGAACUGAGACACGGUCCAAACUCCUACGGGAGGCAGCAGUGAGGAAUAUUGGUCAAUGGGCGGAAGCCUGAACCAGCCAAGUAGCGUGCAGGAUGACGGCCCUAUGGGUUGUAAACUGCUUUUAUACAGGAAUAAAGUUAGCCACGUGUGGUUAUUUGUAGGUACUGUAUGAAUAAGGACCGGCUAAUUCCGUGCCAGCAGCCGCAGUAA
RNAcentral lists this ribosomal RNA (505 nucleotides) under uncultured bacterium. Its description in RNAcentral is "partial 16S ribosomal RNA". It matches the Rfam family "Bacterial small subunit ribosomal RNA", at positions 28 to 523 of the family's 1533-position model. The record is from RNAcentral.